GUGCAGCAGGCGAGAAUAAUUCACAAUGGACGAAAGUCUGAUGGUGCAACGCCGCGUGGAGGAUGACGGUCUUCGGAUUGUAAACUCCUGUCAUCCGGGAGUAAGACCUGACGGUGAAUAGCCGGCAGGGUUGAUAGUACCGGAAGAGGAAGGGACGGCUAACUUCGUGCCAGCAGCCGCGGUAAUACGAAGGUCCCGAGCGUUGUUCGGAAUCACUGGGCGUAAAGGGAGCGUAGGCUGCGCGGUAAGUCAGAUGUGAAAUCCCGGGGCUCAACCCCGGAACUGCAUCCGAUACUGCCGUGCUAGAGGGUUGGAGAGGUAGCUGGAAUUCUCGGUGUAGCAGUGAAAUGCGUGGAUAUCGAGAGGAACACUCGUGGCGAAAGCGAGCUACUGGACAACAUCUGACGCUGAGGCUCGAAGGCCAGGGUAGCGAAAGGGAUUAGAUACCCCCGUAGUCC
Molecule: ribosomal RNA, 458 nt
Filed under: uncultured bacterium
Lineage: Bacteria
Description: bacterial SSU rRNA
Rfam family: Bacterial small subunit ribosomal RNA
Source: RNAcentral